GUGGGGAAUUUUGGACAAUGGGGGCAACCCUGAUCCAGCCAUGCCGCGUGCGGGAAGAAGGCCUUCGGGUUGUAAACCGCUUUUGUCAGGGAAGAAAUCCUUUGGGUUAAUACCUCGGAGGGAUGACGGUACCUGAAGAAUAAGCACCGGCUAACUACGUGCCAGCAGCCGCGGUAAUACGUAGGGUGCGAGCGUUAAUCGGAAUUACUGGGCGUAAAGCGUGCGCAGGCGGUUUUGUAAGAUCGAUGUGAAAUCCCCGGGCUCAACCUGGGAACUGCAUGGGUGACUGCAAGGCUGGAGUGCGGCAGAGGGGGAUGGAAUUCCGCGUGUAGCAGUGAAAUGCGUAGAUAUGCGGAGGAACACCGAUGGCGAAGGCAAUCCCCUGGGCCUGCACUGACGCUCAUGCACGAAAGCGUGGGGAGCAAACAGGAUUAGAAACCCGGGUAGUCC
This 450-nucleotide ribosomal RNA is filed under the name uncultured bacterium. RNAcentral describes it as "partial 16S ribosomal RNA". It matches the Rfam family "Bacterial small subunit ribosomal RNA", at positions 354 to 796 of the family's 1533-position model. The record is from RNAcentral.